RNAcentral lists this ribosomal RNA (326 nucleotides) under uncultured Bacteroidota bacterium. Its description in RNAcentral is "bacterial SSU rRNA". It matches the Rfam family "Bacterial small subunit ribosomal RNA", at positions 568 to 898 of the family's 1533-position model. Lineage: Bacteria; Pseudomonadati; Bacteroidota. The record is from RNAcentral.
UCCGUAGGCGGUUUAAUAAGUCAGUGGUGAAAGCCCAUCGCUUAACGAUGGAACGGCCAUUGAUACUGUUAGACUUGAAUUAUUGGGAAGUAACUAGAAUAUGUAGUGUAGCGGUGAAAUGCUUAGAUAUUACAUGGAAUACCAAUUGCGAAGGCAGGUUACUAUCAAUAUAUUGACGCUGAUGGACGAAAGCGUGGGGAGCGAACAGGAUUAGAUACCCUGGUAGUCCACGCCGUAAACGAUGGAUACUAGCUGUUCGGAGCAAUCUGAGUGGCUAAGCGAAAGUGAUAAGUAUCCCACCUGGGGAGUACGUUCGCAAGAAUGAA